Long non-coding RNA from Cyprinus carpio carpio, 711 nucleotides. The record is from Ensembl. Lineage: Eukaryota; Metazoa; Chordata; Actinopteri; Cypriniformes; Cyprinidae.
UAGAGGAUCAUAUAGACACUCUUAACUUCAUCCACAGCUGUUAAAACUCCAGUCCAAUCUGUGCUUUCCCACUGCACGGCGAAGCUAGUCCAGCAACCACUCUGAAAACAGAUGCCAAAUCAUCUACAGUGUCAGACCCUGUUACCCAGAGUUUGACAACUCAGUCUACGUAUCCGGUAAGCACGUCCUCCUCCAUUUCUACUGACCAGAUGGCCACAUCAGGCUCUACAGUGACAGGAGCUUCAUCCACCUCAACACAGAACACUGCUUCUAACAGUGCUACUGUCGCCUCAGCUGGUAUUACUAGUAUGGAGACAGCAAACAUAUCUUCUUCAGAAAAUUACACGGCGCUAUCCUGUCCAGCAUUUGCUUGCACAAAAGAUUGUUAUGACCAGUUCAUGAAUAUGACGGCGAAGCCCUGCCAAUCCAGUGAAUACUUCUGUAAGAUAAUGAAAGGCGAUGCAGGUUACUCUGUCAGCUGCAGUGCCUCAUGUGGCGUGCCCUGUGAGAACGGGACUCUCAGUAAUUGCUCUGUCAACUGUUGCAACACAACUAACUGCCUCAACAACAGUCUGCUUGCCAUGUUCAAUUCACUCAAUACCACAGCUACAACAAAACCGACUACUACAACCACAACCAUAAAGACCACAGUUCCAACCACCCCAGCAAGCAAUGGCAAGAAGUGUCAUAAUUUCAAGUGUAAUGGAGCAG